Molecule: ribosomal RNA, 495 nt
Filed under: uncultured bacterium
Lineage: Bacteria
Description: partial 16S ribosomal RNA
Rfam family: Bacterial small subunit ribosomal RNA
Source: RNAcentral
GACGAACGCUGGCGGCGUGCCUAAUACAUGCAAGUAGAACGCUGAAGGAGGAGCUUGCUUCUCUGGAUGAGUUGCGAACGGGUGAGUAACGCGUAGGUAACCUGCCUGGUAACGGGGGAUAACUAUUGGAAACGAUAGCUAAUACCGCAUAAGAGUAGAUGUUGCAUGACAUUUGCUUAAAAGGUGCAAUUGCAUCACUACCAGAUGGACCUGCGUUGUAUUAGCUAGUUGGUGAGGUAACGGCUCACCAAGGCAACGAUACAUAGCCGACCUGAGAGGGUGAUCGGCCACACUGGGACUGAGACACGGCCCAGACUGCUACGGGAGGCAGCAGUAGGGAAUCUUCGGCAAUGGACGGAAGUCUGAGCGAGCAACGCCGAGUGAGUGAAGAAGGUUUUCGGAUCGUAAAGCUCUGUUGUAAGAGAAGAACGAGUGUGAGAGUGGAAAGUUCACACUGUGACGGUAUCUUACCAGAAAGGGACGGCUAACUACGUG